UUCCGGUUGAUCCCGCCGGACCUGACUGCUAUCGGAUUGAUACUAAGCCAUGCGAGUCAUUGUAGCAAUACAAGGCAUACGGCUCAGUAACGCGUAGUCAACCUAACCUAUGGACGGGAAUAACCUCGGGAAACUGAGAAUAAUGCCCGAUAGAACAUUAUACCUGGAAUGGUUUAUGUUCCAAAUGAUUUAUCGCCGUAGGAUGGGACUGCGGCCUAUCAGUUUGUUGGUGAGGUAAUGGCCCACCAAGACUAUUACAGGUACGGGCUCUGAGAGGAGUAGCCCGGAGAUGGGUACUGAGACAAGGACCCAGGCCCUAUGGGGCGCAGCAGGCGAGAAAACUUUGCAAUGUGCGAAAGCACGACAAGGUUAAUCCGAGUGAUUUCUGCUAAAGAAAUCUUUUGCAAGUCAUAAAACCACUAGUGAAUAAGGGGUGGGCAAGUUCUGGUGUCAGCCGCCGCGGUAAAACCAGCACCUCAAGUGGUCAGGAGGAUUAUUGGGCCUAAAGCAUCCGUAGCCGGCUCUGUAAGUUUUCGGUUAAAUCCAUGUGCUCAACGCAUGGGCUGCCGAAAAUACUGCAUAGCUAGGGAGUGGGAGAGGUAGACGGUACUCGGUAGGAAGGGGUAAAAUCCUUUGAUCUAUCGAUGACCACCUGUGGCGAAGGCGGUCUACCAGAACACGUUCGACGGUGAGGGAUGAAAGCUGGGGGAGCAAACCGGAUUAGAUACCCGGGUAGUCCCAGCUGUAAACGAUGCAGACUCGAUGAUGCAUUGGCAUAUAGCCAGUGCAGUGUCGCAGGGAAGCCGUUAAGUCUGCCGCCUGGGAAGUACGUACGCAAGUAUGAAACUUAAAGGAAUUGGCGGGGGAGCACCACAAGGGGUGAAGCCUGCGGUUCAAUUGGAUUCAACGCCGGG
This 914-nucleotide ribosomal RNA is filed under the name uncultured marine archaeon. RNAcentral describes it as "bacterial SSU rRNA". It matches the Rfam family "Archaeal small subunit ribosomal RNA", at positions 1 to 922 of the family's 1478-position model. The record is from RNAcentral.